This 231-nucleotide ribosomal RNA is filed under the name uncultured bacterium. Its description in RNAcentral is "partial 16S ribosomal RNA". It matches the Rfam family "Bacterial small subunit ribosomal RNA", at positions 524 to 754 of the family's 1533-position model. The record is from RNAcentral.
UACGUAGGGUGCAAGCGUUAAUCGGAAUUACUGGGCGUAAAGCGUGCGCAGGCGGUUAUGUAAGACAGAUGUGAAAUGCCCGGGCUUAACCUGGGAACUGCAUUUGUGACUGCAUGGCUAGAGUUUGGCAGAGGGGGGUAGAAUUCCACGUGUAGCAGUGAAAUGCGUAGAUAUGUGGAGGAACACCGAUGGCGAAGGCAGCCCCCUGGGUCAAGACUGACGCUCAUGCAC